UACGUAGGGAGCAAGCGUUGUCCGGAUUUACUGGGUGUAAAGGGUGCGUAGGCGGGCUUGCAAGUCAGAAGUGAAAUCUAUGGGCUUAACCCAUAAACUGCUUUUGAAACUGUAAGUCUUGAGUGAAGUAGAGGUAGGCGGAAUUCCCGGUGUAGCGGUGAAAUGCGUAGAUAUUAGGGGGAACACCAGUGGCGAAGGCGGCCUGCUGGACGGUGUACUGACGCUGAGGCUCGAAAGCGUGGGGAGCAAACAGG
RNAcentral lists this ribosomal RNA (254 nucleotides) under uncultured Ruminococcus sp. RNAcentral's name for it is "partial 16S ribosomal RNA". It matches the Rfam family "Bacterial small subunit ribosomal RNA", at positions 524 to 776 of the family's 1533-position model. The record is from RNAcentral. Lineage: Bacteria; Bacillati; Bacillota; Clostridia; Eubacteriales; Oscillospiraceae.